CAUUAAUCUCCCUUAUUCUGAGUGUAUUUUGCCCAUGAUGGUAUUUGUUGAAUGAUCUCUCUGUCCUUACGUCCACCUAUGAGUGGGUCAUGUUUGAGAAGAAAGGAGCAGCCAAGAGAGGCUGUGACCUACUCUGGGUUGGGGCAAUCCCAGAGAUGAGGGCAGACUGGGAGAAGAACUCAUUGAGAGCAGCCCAGCAGAGAAAGACUGGGGAGCUCUGGUAGAUAAAAAGCUUGAUGUGAGCCAGCAAUGUGUGCUUGCAGCCCAGGUCAACUGUGUCCUGGACUGCACCAACAGAGAAGUGGCCAGCAGGGGAUGGAGGACUCUGAUGUGUUUAAUUGCCUUGAAGAUGUCUGGAUGAUUUGCAAAAAAUCUCCAUCCAGACUCUUGUCUCCAGAUUCCCACUGCAUGAGGAAACCACCAUUCUGCAGUCUUCAGGUCAUUGCAGCACAGAGGAAGGGCUGAGAGGAGUCUGUCCUCUGGCUGCGCUGACUGAAAGCAUGCGGCUGUGUGUGUGCUGCCACCUCACCCUUGGCGGCUUGUAGAUAUUUUCCAUUUUUGGCAACAUGCUCCAGCUGUUACUCUUCCGUCUCCAUUGUGCUUUUAACCCAGUACUGAGCUCAAGGACCAGAAAGGACUAGCAGUUUGAUACCUGUAGUUGUUUUUUAAAAAUAAA
Molecule: non-coding RNA, 676 nt
Organism: Anas platyrhynchos (mallard)
Lineage: Eukaryota; Metazoa; Chordata; Aves; Anseriformes; Anatidae
Source: RefSeq, a predicted model, not a curated record